GAACGUAAAUGUAACGACCCAAUUCCGGCUACAGAGUUUGUUAGCACGCCAACGUCGAUGCACACACCCACAGUGACUGAGUCACCACCAGAGCUCGCCGGAGUCGCCUCACGCAGUGAUCACGUCCAGCUUGUCACCACCGAUCGCAACCCUAGACCAUCAUCGUGUUCCUCUCGACGAGACGAAUCCAUAGCCACCGAAAUCGUCGAAAUCGGAGCUCAGACGAAGCCGUACGAGCCUCCAGAAGAUCAGCCUUCGCGCGCGCGUGAAACAGACGCUCCGCCGUCUCUUCGCCGGAGCCGCCGCGCCCGGCCGCCGUCAGUUCGCCGCCGGGAAUCCGCCGCCGCGUCACCACCGCACCGCCGCCGCCGCCGGUGACUUUUCCGAUUUGGAGUCUAUUUGAGCAUCUGGAGUUCAUAGAUACCACUUCUCUACAUUUUCUAAGGUGAGACCGCCGAGCGGGAGUGAUUCUACUGGACGGAUGCUUUUGAGUGCUUUUGGGCUUUUGGGCUUUUAUCACUUCUACCGCUAUCUACUUUUAGGCCUUCGGGCUUUUAUCUAUCGUUUAUGUAUUUCGUAUUUUCGGACUUACGGAUUUAUGUCGUUAUUUAUGUUUCGGAUGUUAUCGAUAUUUACGGAUUUGUCCUUAUGGUAUUAUGAUGUCGAGGAUGUUGACUUUGGAUUAUUUAUAAAUGGAGACGAUUAUUAUUAUUAUGUUAUUUUAUUAUUAUCGAAUUUUCGAGAGUGACGGGUGUCACAGUUUUUGGUAUCAGAGCCGUGUUCCGUCCCGGUUCUGUCCCGGGAUGGCGAUUUUUGGAGACUCGGUUUUUAUUCGGUUUUAAUCGGUUUUCAAAUAU
RNA transcript from Raphanus sativus (radish), 857 nucleotides. RefSeq lists it as uncharacterized. NCBI's taxonomy places the organism in Eukaryota, Viridiplantae, Streptophyta, Magnoliopsida, Brassicales, Brassicaceae. The transcript has 5 exons. The record is from RefSeq and is a predicted model, not a curated record.